Molecule: transfer RNA, 70 nt
Filed under: Danionella translucida
Lineage: Eukaryota; Metazoa; Chordata; Actinopteri; Cypriniformes; Danionidae
Also listed under: 1 other name
Rfam family: tRNA
About the family: Transfer RNA (tRNA) molecules are approximately 80 nucleotides in length. Their secondary structure includes four short double-helical elements and three loops (D, anti-codon, and T loops). Further hydrogen bonds mediate the characteristic L-shaped molecular structure. tRNAs have two regions of fundamental functional importance: the anti-codon, which is responsible for specific mRNA codon recognition, and the 3' end, to which the tRNAs corresponding amino acid is attached (by aminoacyl-tRNA synthetases). tRNAs cope with the degeneracy of the genetic code in two manners: having more than one tRNA (with a specific anti-codon) for a particular amino acid; and 'wobble' base-pairing, i.e. permitting non-standard base-pairing at the 3rd anti-codon position.
Source: Rfam by way of RNAcentral
AGCUCGUUGGCUAGGGUAUGAUUCUUGCUUUGGGUGCAAGAGGUCCCGGGUUCAAAUCCUGGACGAGCCC